UGGGGAAUUUUGGACAAUGGGCGAAAGCCUGAUCCAGCAAUGCCGCGUGUGUGAAGAAGGCCUUCGGGUUGUAAAGCACUUUUGUCCGGAAAGAAAUCCUUGGCUCUAAUACAGUCGGGGGAUGACGGUACCGGAAGAAUAAGCACCGGCUAACUACGUGCCAGCAGCCGCGGUAAUACGUAGGGUGCAAGCGUUAAUCGGAAUUACUGGGCGUAAAGCGUGCGCAGGCGGUUUGCUAAGACCGAUGUGAAAUCCCCGGGCUCAACCUGGGAACUGCAUUGGUGACUGGCAGGCUAGAGUAUGGCAGAGGGGGGUAGAAUUCCACGUGUAGCAGUGAAAUGCGUAGAGAUGUGGAGGAAUACCGAUGGCGAAGGCAGCCCCCUGGGCCAAUACUGACGCUCAUGCACGAAAGCGUGGGGAGCAAACAGGAUUAGAUACCCUGGUAGUCCACGCCCUAAACGAUGUCAACUAGUUGUUGGGGAUUCAUUUCCUUAGUAACGUAGCUAACGCGUGAAGUUGACCGCCUGGGGAGUGCGGUCGCAAGAUUAAAACUCAAAUGAAUUGACGGGGUCAUAGCUGUUUCCU
RNAcentral lists this ribosomal RNA (585 nucleotides) under uncultured bacterium. RNAcentral's name for it is "partial 16S ribosomal RNA". It matches the Rfam family "Bacterial small subunit ribosomal RNA", at positions 355 to 1375 of the family's 1533-position model. The record is from RNAcentral.